ACCAAAUGGGAUUGUACUCAAAUCUCAGAUAAACGGCGCCAGGACGUUUGUACUCUUUACAAAGCCGUGUAAAAUUGUAAAUCCCUUUUCGAAUAGCGCUGUUCUUGGUUAUUUGUAUUAUAAAUAAAGCGGCGUGCUUUGAAAUUCAUGUUCCAAUUGGGCUUUGACAUAAAUAUUUGUCAACAUGCGCUUUAAGAAUAUUCAUGACCACUAACCAUCAGGAGAGCCAUAUGCGUCUACCUAUGAAAGCAAUGAAAAAUAAGAAACUGAAAUUUUUAAGUACAGUUUGCGGAGCUUCUGUUCACUAGAUUCGGCCGACGUGUGAUAAAAUCACCGAGUCCUUAUUUAAGUCUCGGUUGGGUUACCCAUUGUGCUGUUUAAGCGAUGGCUAAGUGGCGAUUAGGGUGACGUCUCCUUCAGGUGAAGAUGGCAUCUACAAAUAAACGAAACGCUUUCGAGCGCUUUGGGCUUUUGAUGCGGUGUGAAGGGGAACGUCAAAAAUUAUUCAUUUUGUGAUUAAAUAUAAGAAAAUUGUGAUUAAAUAAAAUAAAAUAUAAUGUUGAGAAAUA
Molecule: long non-coding RNA, 569 nt
Organism: Bombyx mori (domestic silkworm)
Lineage: Eukaryota; Metazoa; Arthropoda; Insecta; Lepidoptera; Bombycidae
Exons: 3
Source: RefSeq, a predicted model, not a curated record